RNAcentral lists this ribosomal RNA (495 nucleotides) under uncultured bacterium. RNAcentral's name for it is "partial 16S ribosomal RNA". It matches the Rfam family "Bacterial small subunit ribosomal RNA", at positions 28 to 507 of the family's 1533-position model. The record is from RNAcentral.
GACGAACGCUGGCGGCGUGCCUAAUACAUGCAAGUAGAACGCUGAAGGAGGAGCUUGCUUCUCUGGAUGAGUUGCGAACGGGUGAGUAACGCGUAGGUAACCUGCCUGGUAGCGGGGGAUAACUAUUGGAAACGAUAGCUAAUACCGCAUAAUAUUGACUAUUGCAUGAUAGUCAGUUGAAAGGUGCAACUGCACCACUACCAGAUGGACCUGCGUUGUAUUAGCUAGUUGGUGGGGUAACGGCUCACCAAGGCGACGAUACAUAGCCGACCUGAGAGGGGGGUCGGCCAACCUGGGACUGAGACACGGCCCAGACUCCUACGGGGAGCAGCAGUAGGGAAACUUCGGCAAUGGACGGAAGUCUGACCGAACAACGCCGCGGUAGGGAAGAAGGUUUUCGGAUCGUAAAGCUCUGUUGUAAGGGGAGAACGAGUGUUAGAGUAGAAAGCUCACACUGUGACGGUAUCUUACCAGAAAGGGACGGCUAACUACGUG